UACGGAGGGUGCAAGCAUUAAUCGGAUUUAUUGGGCGUAAAGGGCGCGUAGGCGGGAACAUAAGUCAGAUGUGAAAUCCCGGGGCUUAACCCCGGAACAGCAUUUGAAACUGUGUUUCUAGAGGAUAGGCGGAGAAAACGGAAUUCCACAAGUAGCGGUGAAAUGCGUAGAUAUGUGGAAGAACACCUGUGGCGAAAGCGGUUUUCUAGCUUAUACCUGACGCUGAGGCGCGAAAGCAAGGGGAUCAAACAGG
This 253-nucleotide ribosomal RNA is filed under the name uncultured bacterium. RNAcentral describes it as "partial 16S ribosomal RNA". It matches the Rfam family "Bacterial small subunit ribosomal RNA", at positions 524 to 776 of the family's 1533-position model. The record is from RNAcentral.